UCCAAGACAGGCAAGCCGGUACGGAUUAAAACCAAACGAGCAUGUUGAUAGCAGCUUUGACCUGCUAAAUACGCAAUGAGAUCAUCUGCAGUCACUGCUGCCCCCACAAACUUUCCCAGGACUUUAAAAUGAAGCAAACUUAUCAUUUGGACUAAUUCACUAGACACUAGUUUUGCUCUGCUAGCUAUGAACACACUGGUUCAGGUGAAAGGGCACAGCACAAGUUUUUAGUUACCUUUCGGAGAAAGAUCUGACCGCAGCAAACACCUCAUCUGACGUAUCGGCUCCUCGGAUAAUCUCGAUCAGUUUCAUUACCGGAGGAGGGUUGAAGAAGUGCAUGCCUAUCACCUGCAGUCCUGCACCAUGGUUAAUGCCGAAGGUAAGUUUCGCCCAAAAUUACCGAUGCACAUGAUUCUAAGGAAGAAGCUUUAGGCAAACACUGUACGCAUACUUGAUAAAGUUGAAUAAAAUCACAAGAAGCUUUCGAAGCUCAAGAGUUCAAGAUGUGAGAAGGAUAAGGACAACAUUGUCCUCGAUAAUGUAUGACAAUUUAAAUGUAUAUGUUCUAGGACAUGAUUGUAAAUUCGCUAAACCUAUACUGCACGCCUAUAAAUAGAUGAACAGUGUCAUGCAUUAGAGACAUGAUUUUCCUUACCUCGAUAAGAACCAGACAUAUUUCUCUUCAUAAAAAGUUGUACCUUUCUCUCUCUAUAUUGUAAUCUUACGAA
This is a long non-coding RNA of Zea mays, 728 nucleotides long. RefSeq lists it as uncharacterized. The record is from RefSeq and is a predicted model, not a curated record. The transcript is spliced from 2 exons. Lineage: Eukaryota; Viridiplantae; Streptophyta; Magnoliopsida; Poales; Poaceae.